RNAcentral lists this long non-coding RNA (217 nucleotides) under Elaeis guineensis (African oil palm). RNAcentral's name for it is "long non-coding RNA (EGUI_LNC039505)". The record is from RNAcentral. Lineage: Eukaryota; Viridiplantae; Streptophyta; Magnoliopsida; Arecales; Arecaceae.
GGUAUGUUGGCUAUUUGCAGUGAGGCUAUAUAGUUUGACUGCACGUUCUCUUGAUCUCUAACCAUAUGGGUCAUUACUGUGUAUGUUGGCUAUGUAGGUUUAGAUUCAUUGUUUGGAGUAGGAUACACCUAGAUGGAAUCUAUCGAUCUUAGUAGAAAAUGAGAAGUCCUAUGCGAUUUAUAAGACUAAGUUCAGAAAAAUCUCUGGCUAGAGUAAG